RNAcentral lists this ribosomal RNA (808 nucleotides) under uncultured bacterium. Its description in RNAcentral is "bacterial SSU rRNA". It matches the Rfam family "Bacterial small subunit ribosomal RNA", at positions 31 to 862 of the family's 1533-position model. The record is from RNAcentral.
UAACGCUAGCGGCGUGCUUUAUGCAUGCAAGUCGAACGGUCUCGAUUAUCGAGAUAGUGGCAAACGGGUGAGUAACGCGUAAGUAACCUGCCCUUAAGUAGGGGAUAACUCCGAGAAAUUGGCGUAAUACCGCAUGUGGUGGUGGAGGUAAGGCUCCAUCACUAAAGCCUUCGGGCGCUUAAGGAGGGGCUUGCGUCCGAUUAGCUAGUUGGUAGAGUAACGGUCUACCAAGGCGAUGAUCGGUAGCUGGUUUGAGAGGACGGCCAGCCACAUUGGGACUGAGACACGGCCCAGACUCCUACGGGAGGCAGCAGCAAGGAAUUUUGUGCAAUGGGCGAAAGCCUGACACAGCGACGCCGCGUGGGGGAUGAGGGCCUUCGGGUCGUAAACCCCUUUUAUCAGGGAAGAAUAAUGACGGUACCUGAGGAAUAGGCCUCGGCCAACUACGUGCCAGCAGCCGCGGUAAUACGUAGGAGGCAAGCGUUAUCCGGAUUUACUGGGCGUAAAGCGGGCGCAGGCGGCCUUUCAAGUCGGAUGUAAAAUCUCCCGGCUCAACUGGGAGGGAUCAUUCGAUACUGUUGGGCUAGAGGACAGCAGAGGGAGGUGGAAUUCCCGGUGUAGUGGUGAAAUGCGUAGAUAUCGGGAGGAACACCAGUGGCGAAGGCGGCCUCCUGGGCUGUUUCUGACGCUGAGGCCCAAAAGCGUGGGGAGCGAACAGGAUCAGAUACCCUGGUAGUCCCACGCCCUAAACGAUGGACCACUAGGUAUGGGAGCAAUCCGACCCUCUCCGUGCCGAACUAACGCCUUA